Molecule: long non-coding RNA, 441 nt
Filed under: Olea europaea (common olive)
Lineage: Eukaryota; Viridiplantae; Streptophyta; Magnoliopsida; Lamiales; Oleaceae
Description: long non-coding RNA (OEUR_LNC013333)
Source: RNAcentral
CUGAUCCGAUGUUUCGGAGUGUCUUUGAGGGAAGCUUAUCAAUGUACGGCAUGGACAUUAAUCGAAGGCCAUAUCCUCACAAUUGCACUGCAUAAACAGAAGGGCACCUGCUCAAGUUCUGUUUCAUGUAGAAGUAACAGUUCGUUCUCCCAAAAAAUGUACUAUGGAGUAAAUGUUCCUUACUUACCGUAUCAGCUUCCAAAUUCUCUUCUCGAUUUUCUCAUGAUGGUGAUUCACCAGAAAAUGAGGGUUCAAGUAGAGUACAAUGUAAAACUAAACGUUACGAGGUUUAGAGCUUGUAGAUUCUUUUUACCAGUUUUUAGUCCACCAGGCAUUCCUCCAGGCAAAAAAUUGUCAUGAGAGGAACUUCAUUGUACAUUCUGGUAAGUUCAUGGAAACUUGACUUCUUCUCUUUCACGUAGCAUUUAAUGCAAAUGAAUA